CCUACGGGUGGCUGCAGUAGGGAAUAUUGGGCAAUGGAAGAGAUUCUGACCCAGCCAUGCCGCGUGCCGGAAGAAGGCGCUACGCGUUGUAAACGGCUUUUGUCAGGGAAGAAAACGGUCUUGCGAGGCUAAUUGACGGUACCUGACGAAUAAGCACCGGCUAACUCCGUGCCAGCAGCCGCGGUAAUACGGAGGGUGCAAGCGUUGUCCGGAUUUAUUGGGUCUAAAGGGUGCGUAGGCGGCCUGUUAAGUCAGUGGUGAAAGACGGCAGCUCA
Molecule: ribosomal RNA, 275 nt
Filed under: uncultured bacterium
Lineage: Bacteria
Description: partial 16S ribosomal RNA
Rfam family: Bacterial small subunit ribosomal RNA
Source: RNAcentral